RNAcentral lists this transfer RNA (83 nucleotides) under Planctomycetota bacterium. RNAcentral's name for it is "Planctomycetes bacterium (freshwater metagenome) tRNA-Leu". It matches the Rfam family "tRNA". Rfam says of the family: Transfer RNA (tRNA) molecules are approximately 80 nucleotides in length. Their secondary structure includes four short double-helical elements and three loops (D, anti-codon, and T loops). Further hydrogen bonds mediate the characteristic L-shaped molecular structure. tRNAs have two regions of fundamental functional importance: the anti-codon, which is responsible for specific mRNA codon recognition, and the 3' end, to which the tRNAs corresponding amino acid is attached (by aminoacyl-tRNA synthetases). tRNAs cope with the degeneracy of the genetic code in two manners: having more than one tRNA (with a specific anti-codon) for a particular amino acid; and 'wobble' base-pairing, i.e. permitting non-standard base-pairing at the 3rd anti-codon position. Lineage: Bacteria; Pseudomonadati; Planctomycetota. The record is from RNAcentral.
GCCGGAGUGGCGGAAUGGCAGACGCGCUGGACUCAAAAUCCAGUAUCCGCGAGGGUGUGUGGGUUCGAGUCCCACCUCCGGCA